This 253-nucleotide ribosomal RNA is filed under the name uncultured bacterium. RNAcentral describes it as "partial 16S ribosomal RNA". It matches the Rfam family "Bacterial small subunit ribosomal RNA", at positions 524 to 776 of the family's 1533-position model. The record is from RNAcentral.
GACGAACCGUGCGAACGUUGUUCGGAAUCACUGGGCAUAAAGGGCGCGUAGGCGGCUUAUCAAGUCAGGGGUGAAAUCCAGCAGCUCAACUAUCGAAGUGCCUUUGAUACUGAUGAGCUCGAGGGAGGUAGGGGUAUGCGGAACUUCCGGUGGAGCGGUGAAAUGCGUUGAUAUCGGAAGGAACGCCGGUGGCGAAAGCGGCGUACUGGACCUCUUCUGACGCUGAGGCGCGAAAGCCAGGGGAGCAAACGGG